Molecule: long non-coding RNA, 520 nt
Organism: Daphnia pulex (common water flea)
Lineage: Eukaryota; Metazoa; Arthropoda; Branchiopoda; Diplostraca; Daphniidae
Exons: 4
Source: RefSeq, a predicted model, not a curated record
CUGCCUAGUGCACGGUUAGUUGACUGUCUUUCACGUUUCGAUGCAGUAUAAAUAAGUGAACUAUUAAACAUUUCAAAAAGUUUGUUAAGUAGCAAAAUGUGGUAAAGCAGAUUAAGUGUGAAACCAACAUUAUAGUGAGAUCCUUGUGAAUGGAAAAUAGCAUGAUCCAGGCUGUUCUUCAAUUGCAAAGAAAGAGAAUCAUGAUCGAAACGAAUGGAAAAUAUCCAACUAGAAUUCUCUUCAAAUUCGUGGUAAUUUUGGAAAAUAUUCUUUCCAGAGAAUAACACCUUAAAAGAAAGAACUGUGGCUGUGAUAAUGUAGCAGUAUUGUGUGAAUCUGUCGCCGCCAUUCCACAGCACAGACUGACCCAUUGGGAUGGUGAAACUGACGAGAAAACGCUGAAAUUCAAGAAAAUUAUGUUGAUGUAGAUAAAUGACAAGUGCAUAUCUGGGCUCCCUUCUUUUCUGUGGCCCCGUUUCCCUAACUAACCACUAACCAACGCCCGCCGGUGGUCACUCAC